CCCCAGGUGUGUUUUUAUCCCCCCCAGGUGUCCCCAGGUGUCCCCAGGUACCCCAGGUGUGUCCCCAGAUGUCCCCAGGUGUCCCCAGGUGUCCCCAGGUGUCCCCAGGUGUGCCCAGUUGUGCCCAGGUGUGUUCAGGUGUCCCCAGGUGUGCCCAGGUGUCCCCAGGUGUGCCCAGGUGUCCCCAGGUGUGUUUUUAUCCCCCCCAGGUGUCCCCAGGUGUGCCCCCAGGUGUCCCCAGGUGUCCCCAGGUGUGCCCAGGUGUCCCCAGGUGUGCCCAGGUGUGUCCAGGUGUCCCCAGGUGAUAUUCAGGUGUGCCCAGGUGUGCCCAGGUGUCCCCAGGUGUGCCCAGGUGUCCCCAGGUGUGUUCCAGGUGUCCCCAGGUGUGUCCAGGUGUGUCCCCAGGUGUCCCCAGGUGUAUCUCAGGUGUCCCCAGGUGUGCCCAGGUGUGUUUUUAUCCCCCCCAGGUGUGCCCAGGUGUCCCCAGGUGCCCCCAGGGUGAUGUUCAGGUGUGUCCAGGUGUGCCCAGGUAUGUCCCCAG
RNAcentral lists this long non-coding RNA (541 nucleotides) under Cyanistes caeruleus (blue tit). Its description in RNAcentral is "lncRNA (ENSCCEG00000018640.1)". The record is from RNAcentral. Lineage: Eukaryota; Metazoa; Chordata; Aves; Passeriformes; Paridae.